RNAcentral lists this long non-coding RNA (528 nucleotides) under Homo sapiens (human). RNAcentral's name for it is "non-protein coding lnc-LCLAT1-2:2". Lineage: Eukaryota; Metazoa; Chordata; Mammalia; Primates; Hominidae. The record is from RNAcentral.
CUGAGGCUGAGGCUGAGAAGGCUGGCAUAUGUGAUGUCUUCGGGGAUCGGAAGCUGUAAAGAAAGCUUUUAUGGUUCCCUGACUGAGGAUAAUCAACCCCUUCAUAAUUUAGAAUCCAAAGAUUGGAUCUUCUGAGAACAUCAGAGAAAGACUGCCCUUGCCAUCCACACUGCAACAAAACUUCAGAACCUUGAACCUUGGGUUCAUAAUCUCACAACAAAGAAGGGUCCCUCCAUGUUCUUGGAGCUGUACACCCAUUGGAACUCUUAAGACAUAUGGCCCUAAAGCACCUCAGAAGAAGCUGAAGGAAAUCAGCCUCCAUAGCUUUCAAGCCCCUGGACUCCUGGAGCCAGAAGUUAAUUCACACUCUGAUCUCAGAGAAGUUCAAGACCUUCAGCAGAACUUUUCCUGGCCAGGGCAUUUUUGCCCCUGAGAUAUGUCAUUAAACACUGUAACCAGGAACUUCUGUUCUUACCCCUGUCCUUCCCUUCACCUUUUAUAGUUACUAAAUGCAAUGUUUUAUUUUUC